This 460-nucleotide ribosomal RNA is filed under the name uncultured bacterium. RNAcentral describes it as "partial 16S ribosomal RNA". It matches the Rfam family "Bacterial small subunit ribosomal RNA", at positions 338 to 795 of the family's 1533-position model. The record is from RNAcentral.
CCUACGGGAGGCAGCAGUGAGGAAUAUUGGUCAAUGGGCGCGAGCCUGAACCAGCCAAGUCGCGUGAGGGAUGAAGGUUCUAUGGAUCGUAAACCUCUUUUAUAAGGGAAUAAAGUGUGGGAUGUGUCCUAUUUUGUAUGUACCUUAUGAAUAAGGAUCGGCUAACUCCGUGCCAGCAGCCGCGGUAAUACGGAGGAUCCGAGCGUUAUCCGGAUUUAUUGGGUUUAAAGGGUGCGUAGGCGGCCUUUUAAGUCAGCGGUGAAAGUUUGCGGCUCAACCAUAAAAUUGCCGUUGAAACUGGGAGGCUUGAGUACGUUUGAGGCAGGCGGAAUGCGUGGUGUAGCGGUGAAAUGCUUAGAUAUCACGAAGAACCCCGAUUGCGAAGGCAGCCUGCCAGGCCAUGACUGACGCUGAGGCACGAAAGCGUGGGGAUCAAACAGGAUUAGAUACCCCAGUAGUC